GCACUGCUGACCAGUCCCAAACAAGACGAAACAGCUGUUCAGUGC
Molecule: non-coding RNA, 45 nt
Filed under: Echinostoma caproni
Lineage: Eukaryota; Metazoa; Platyhelminthes; Trematoda; Plagiorchiida; Echinostomatidae
Source: RNAcentral